This 221-nucleotide ribosomal RNA is filed under the name uncultured bacterium. Its description in RNAcentral is "partial 16S ribosomal RNA". It matches the Rfam family "Bacterial small subunit ribosomal RNA", at positions 99 to 334 of the family's 1533-position model. The record is from RNAcentral.
CGCACGGGUGAGUAACACGUGACUAACCUACCCUCGAGUGGGGAAUAACCUAGAGAAAUCUGGGCUAAUACCGCAUAACACUUACGAGUCAAAGCAGCAAUGCGCUUGAGGAGGGGGUCGCGGCAGAUUAGCUAGUUGGCGGGGUAAUGGCCCACCAAGGCAAUGAUCUGUAUCCGGCCUGAGAGGGCGCACGGACACACUGGAACUGAAACACAGUCCAG